UGGGGAAUUUUGGACAAUGGGCGAAAGCCUGAUCCAGCAAUGCCGCGUGUGUGAAGAAGGCCUUCGGGUUGUAAAGCACUUUUGUCCGGAAAGAAAUGGCUCUGGUUAAUACCUGGGGUCGAUGACGGUACCGGAAGAAUAAGGACCGGCUAACUACGUGCCAGCAGCCGCGGUAAUACGUAGGGCUCCAAGCGUUAUCGGAAUUACUGGGCGUAAAGCGUGCGCAGGCGGUUGUGCAAGACCGAUGUGAAAUCCCCGAGCUUAACUUGGGAAUUGCAUUGGUGACUGCACGGCUAGAGUGUGUCAGAGGGGGGUAGAAUUCCACGUGUAGCAGUGAAAUGCGUAGAGAUGUGGAGGAAUACCGAUGGCGAAGGCAGCCCCCUGGGAUAACACUGACGCUCAUGCACGAAAGCGUGGGGAGCAAACAGGAUUAGAUACCCUGGUAGUCCACGCCCUAAACGAUGUCAACUAGUUGUUGGGGAUUCAUUUCCUUAGUAACGUAGCUAACGCGUGAAGUUG
Molecule: ribosomal RNA, 519 nt
Filed under: uncultured bacterium
Lineage: Bacteria
Description: partial 16S ribosomal RNA
Rfam family: Bacterial small subunit ribosomal RNA
Source: RNAcentral